RNAcentral lists this ribosomal RNA (162 nucleotides) under Anacampseros vulcanensis. RNAcentral's name for it is "5.8S ribosomal RNA". It matches the Rfam family "5.8S ribosomal RNA". From Rfam's summary of the family: 5.8S ribosomal RNA (5.8S rRNA) is a component of the large subunit of the eukaryotic ribosome. Lineage: Eukaryota; Viridiplantae; Streptophyta; Magnoliopsida; Caryophyllales; Anacampserotaceae. The record is from RNAcentral.
AACGACUCUCGGCAACGGAUAUCUCGGCUCACGCAUCGAUGAAGAACGUAGCGAAAUGCGAUACUUGGUGUGAAUUGCAGAAUCCCGUGAACCAUCGAGUCUUUGAACGCAAGUUGCGCCCGAAGCCUUCCGGCCGAGGGCACGUCUGCCUGGGCGUCACGC